GAUGAACGCUGGCGGCGUGCCUAAUACAUGCAAGUCGAGCGAACAGAUAAGGAGCUUGCUCCUUUGACGUUAGCGGCGGACGGGUGAGUAACACGUGGGUAACCUACCUAUAAGACUGGGAUAACUUCGGGAAACCGGAGCUAAUACCGGAUAACAUUUGGAACCGCAUGGUUCUAAAGUGAAAGAUGGUUUUGCUAUCACUUAUAGAUGGACCCGCGCCGUAUUAGCUAGUUGGUAAGGUAACGGCUUACCAAGGCGACGAUACGUAGCCGACCUGAGAGGGUGAUCGGCCACACUGGAACUGAGACACGGUCCAGACUCCUACGGGAGGCAGCAGUAGGGAAUCUUCCGCAAUGGGCGAAAGCCUGACGGAGCAACGCCGCGUGAGUGAUGAAGGGUUUCGGCUCGUAAAACUCUGUUAUUAGGGAAGAACAAAUGUGUAAGUAACUGUGCACGUCUUGACGGUACCUAAUCAGAAAGCCACAGCUAACUACGUG
Molecule: ribosomal RNA, 497 nt
Filed under: uncultured bacterium
Lineage: Bacteria
Description: partial 16S ribosomal RNA
Rfam family: Bacterial small subunit ribosomal RNA
Source: RNAcentral